UGAGGUCAGGAGCCAGAGCUAACAGCGGAAGCUGAAAGGCUCUGAAACGAGACAUGGGUGUCUUCAUCUCUAGGCUAAUUGCCUGUUCCCUUUCAUUCAAUUACUAACUGCUAAGUAUUGACCACAUGCUCAACCCUGAGAUGGCAGAUCAGCCACAGCAGCUCUUUGAUGAAGCUUUCUCCACUGUUAAUCACUUAUCCAAUCUCCAUAAAUAACUUCUCUGAACCAAACUCUAGUCUGAACUUGUUCAAUCCAUUAUUGAUGGUCAUUCUGGGAGUCUCAUCAUCGACAGGAAUUACCAUGACAAGCACCAUCCUUUCCAGGGAAUACUUGCCAUCUGUUAGUUUAAUCACAAAACUGUCCUCCCGUGUCUCAGAGUCAU
This is a long non-coding RNA of Ochotona princeps (American pika), 382 nucleotides long. RefSeq lists it as uncharacterized. The record is from RefSeq and is a predicted model, not a curated record. The transcript is spliced from 3 exons. Lineage: Eukaryota; Metazoa; Chordata; Mammalia; Lagomorpha; Ochotonidae.